AUGAAUUAUAAAUAUAAAUCAUGAUAUUUAUUGAUUAAAUCUAUUAUAGAUACUAUUGAUGCAUUAUCAAAAGCAUUGAUUUUAUUAUAGAGUUGUAAUCAAUUGACUUUGAUUUCAAAUAGUUUUAUGUAUUUGUUCGAUUGAAAUACGAAAUUGAAUUUAUCGAAGGAAAAGAUUUGAAUUGAAAUGAAUUUUAACUCACAGCCUGACU
This 211-nucleotide long non-coding RNA is filed under the name Elaeis guineensis (African oil palm). RNAcentral describes it as "long non-coding RNA (EGUI_LNC008866)". Lineage: Eukaryota; Viridiplantae; Streptophyta; Magnoliopsida; Arecales; Arecaceae. The record is from RNAcentral.